CAGAAACGAGACAGUUAGAAGGUUGAGCACACUUCACUCCCCCCCUUCAAAACAACACCGUUUCCCUCGUUCCUAGAACGGAGCAUUUCCAAGCAGUGUUGCCAGUCCAAAGGGCACAUCCAGAAUGGGCAAGUUGUUAUCACUGAUUGGUGUUGUGGCACUCGUGGCACUGGCUGUCGCUGCCUACAUCUGGUGGAGAAGGAGACGGCAAGCACCCAGAGCCGUGGUUGUCACGCAGACGAUAUAGCGAUGUUUUUUUUUAAUGUUUUUAAAUUAUUUUUUUUAAUGGAUGGGUAAUGGAUAUUUCCCAGUAAGAAAUAUGUAGGUUUAUUUAUUUAUUUAUUUUUUUUUUUUACAUAGGCAGCGUUAUCAUUGUUAUUAU
Penaeus vannamei (Pacific white shrimp) is the source of this 382-nucleotide non-coding RNA. NCBI's taxonomy places the organism in Eukaryota, Metazoa, Arthropoda, Malacostraca, Decapoda, Penaeidae. The record is from RefSeq and is a predicted model, not a curated record.